RNAcentral lists this long non-coding RNA (439 nucleotides) under Nicotiana benthamiana. RNAcentral's name for it is "long non-coding RNA (NBEN_LNC033112)". The record is from RNAcentral. Lineage: Eukaryota; Viridiplantae; Streptophyta; Magnoliopsida; Solanales; Solanaceae.
UGAUUCAACAUUCGAGCACGUUUGGAAACUUUUGAAGAUUAUAACCCAUUGGUUCGUGAAGAGGGAUAUGAGGAGGCGAUAUAUGAUUUUGACAGAAUCUUUGAUAUAAGAUUCAAAGACCUUGAUAGGGAUUCGAGCGAUGGGAUUUGGGGUUUUGAAAGAGUAGAAGAAGGAUAGCUCAGGGUGUAUUUUUGGUGAAGUUUGGAGGCAGCUCCGCCUCACAAGGCAGAGGCAGCGGCCGUAUCUUUACAGAUUCGAGGGGUUUGGUUGGUAUUUGAGAGAAAUCAACCAUUGAUUUGUAUUGAGGGAGCAAAGAUGGUUCUGCGGUGUAACUUUGGGGGCUAUUGGAGACCGGCCACCGGUAGAGGCAAUUUCUGGCCGCCGACGUUACAGGUUCUGGUUUGGGUGAGGAGGACGAAUGCUUUGGGUUAGGGGUGGG